CACGUAGGAGGCGAGCGUUGUCCGGAAUCAUUGGGCGUAAAGGGCGCGUAGGCGGCGGGGUAAGUCUGGUGUGAAAUCUCGGAGCUCAACUCCGAAAUUGCACUGGAUACUGCUCUGCUAGAGGGCUGGAGAGGAGAUCGGAAUUCACGGUGUAGCAGUGAAAUGCGUAGAUAUCGUGAGGAAGACCAGUGGCGAAGGCGGAUCUCUGGACAGCUCCUGACGCUGAGGCGCGAAGGCUAGGGGAGCAAACGGG
This 253-nucleotide ribosomal RNA is filed under the name uncultured bacterium. Its description in RNAcentral is "partial 16S ribosomal RNA". It matches the Rfam family "Bacterial small subunit ribosomal RNA", at positions 524 to 776 of the family's 1533-position model. The record is from RNAcentral.